Molecule: ribosomal RNA, 403 nt
Filed under: uncultured bacterium
Lineage: Bacteria
Description: partial 16S ribosomal RNA
Rfam family: Bacterial small subunit ribosomal RNA
Source: RNAcentral
AUUGAACGCUGGCGGCAGGCCUAACACAUGCAAGUCGAGCGAGUGGCGGACGGGUGAGUAAUGUCUGGGGACUGCCCGAUAGAGGGGGAUAACUACUGGAAACGGUGGCUAAUACCGCAUACCAUCGGAUAACCCAUAUGGGAUUAGCUAGUAGGUGGGGUAAAGGCUCACCUAGGCGACGAUCCCUAGCUGGUCUGAGAGGAUGGUCAGCCCAAAUGGGACGGGGACACGGCUCAGAAGACAAGGGAGGCAGCAGUGGGGAAUAUUGGACAAUGGGCGAAAAGCUGAUCCAGCCAUACCGCGUGUGUGAAGAAGGCCCUAGGGUUGUAAAGCACUUUUGUUAGGGAUAUGUUACCUAAAGAAUAAGCACCGGCUAACUCCGUGCCAGCAGCCGCGGUAAUAC